GGGGAGAUACUCAAGCGGCCAACGAGGACAGACUGUAAAUCUGUUGACGUAAGUCUUCGCAGGUUCGAUCCUGCUCUCCCCA
RNAcentral lists this transfer RNA (82 nucleotides) under Bacteroidia bacterium. Its description in RNAcentral is "tRNA-Tyr". It matches the Rfam family "tRNA". Rfam says of the family: Transfer RNA (tRNA) molecules are approximately 80 nucleotides in length. The record is from RNAcentral. Lineage: Bacteria; Pseudomonadati; Bacteroidota; Bacteroidia.